This 514-nucleotide ribosomal RNA is filed under the name uncultured bacterium. RNAcentral's name for it is "partial 16S ribosomal RNA". It matches the Rfam family "Bacterial small subunit ribosomal RNA", at positions 28 to 523 of the family's 1533-position model. The record is from RNAcentral.
GAUGAACGCUGGCGGCGUGCCUAAUACAUGCAAGUCGAGCGAACAGAUGAGAAGCUUGCUUCUCUGAUGUUAGCGGCGGACGGGUGAGUAACACGUGGGUAACCUACCUAUAAGACUGGGAUAACUCCGGGAAACCGGGGCUAAUACCGGAUAAUAUUUUGAACCGCAUGGUUCAAUAGUGAAAGACGGUUUCGGCUGUCACUUAUAGAUGGACCCGCGCCGUAUUAGCUAGUUGGUAAGGUAACGGCUUACCAAGGCGACGAUACGUAGCCGACCUUAGAGGGUGAGCGGCCACACUGGAACUGAGUCACGGUCCAGACUCCUACGGGAGGCAGCAGUAGGGAAUCUUCCGCAAUGGGCGAAAGCCUGACGGAGCAACGCCGCGUGAGUGAUGAAGGUCUUCGGAUCGUAAAACUCUGUUGUUAGGGAAGAACAAAUUUGUUAGUAACUGAACAAGUCUUGACGGUACCUAACCAGAAAGCCACGGCUAACUACGUGCCAGCCGCCGCAGUAA